Molecule: transfer RNA, 76 nt
Filed under: Candidatus Kaiserbacteria bacterium RIFOXYD1_FULL_42_15
Lineage: Bacteria; Candidatus Kaiseribacteriota
Description: tRNA-Met
Rfam family: tRNA
About the family: Transfer RNA (tRNA) molecules are approximately 80 nucleotides in length. Their secondary structure includes four short double-helical elements and three loops (D, anti-codon, and T loops).
Source: RNAcentral
GUCGGCGUAGCUCAGUCGGUAGAGCAUAUCACUCAUAAAGAUAAGGUCACAGGUUCGAUCCCUGUCGUCGACACAA